GGGGAUGCAACGGCUUCGACAGGAAAGUGGACGGUUGCAAACUGCGAGCCGAGCUGUCCUAACUCGUUAAACUGGGGCAAAACAAUAAGUGCCGAGAAAGUACCUGCUUUCGGGCGCUCCUACAACGCUCUGCCCCUCGCGGCCUAAUAGCGUUGUAGGCGCAUAACGGCUCCACAAGCGAGCCUCGUCCACACAUUCUCUUACCCCCGAGAGAGAGGUGUGGGCGUCAGAUAAAUCGGGGUGCUCCGGGGCGACGCCGAUAAACCCCGGCUAAGACGUAUCGGCUGGUUUGGGUGGACUGCGGCGACCCACGAAGCCCAAACGAGAACUUGAGUGUCGCCUACGCUCGUAGACGUUUGCAACCAGCUUUUCUGGACGCGGGUUCGACUCCCGCCAUCUCCACUC
Molecule: transfer-messenger RNA, 405 nt
Filed under: Anaerolineae
Lineage: Bacteria; Bacillati; Chloroflexota
Also listed under: 1 other name
Description: J111 sp003694775 Standard tmRNA
Rfam family: transfer-messenger RNA
About the family: Bacterial tmRNA, also known as 10Sa RNA or SsrA, is named for its dual tRNA and mRNA-like properties. Its role is to liberate the mRNA from a stalled ribosome.
Source: RNAcentral